RNAcentral lists this transfer RNA (72 nucleotides) under Ovis aries (sheep). It matches the Rfam family "tRNA". Rfam says of the family: Transfer RNA (tRNA) molecules are approximately 80 nucleotides in length. The record is from Rfam by way of RNAcentral. Lineage: Eukaryota; Metazoa; Chordata; Mammalia; Artiodactyla; Bovidae.
CCCCUAGUAGCUCAGAGGGUAAAGCAUCUGCUUUCAAUGCGGGAGACCCAGGUUCAAUCCCUGGGUCGGGAA